RNAcentral lists this ribosomal RNA (600 nucleotides) under Lactococcus garvieae. RNAcentral's name for it is "bacterial SSU rRNA". It matches the Rfam family "Bacterial small subunit ribosomal RNA", at positions 885 to 1487 of the family's 1533-position model. Lineage: Bacteria; Bacillati; Bacillota; Bacilli; Lactobacillales; Streptococcaceae. The record is from RNAcentral.
ACCGCAAGGUUGAAACUCAAAGGAAUUGACGGGGGCCCGCACAAGCGGUGGAGCAUGUGGUUUAAUUCGAAGCAACGCGAAGAACCUUACCAGGUCUUGACAUACUCGUGCUAUCCUUAGAGAUAAGGAGUUCCUUCGGGACACGGGAUACAGGUGGUGCAUGGUUGUCGUCAGCUCGUGUCGUGAGAUGUUGGGUUAAGUCCCGCAACGAGCGCAACCCUUAUUACUAGUUGCCAUCAUUAAGUUGGGCACUCUAGUGAGACUGCCGGUGAUAAACCGGAGGAAGGUGGGGAUGACGUCAAAUCAUCAUGCCCCUUAUGACCUGGGCUACACACGUGCUACAAUGGAUGGUACAACGAGUCGCCAACCCGCGAGGGUGCGCUAAUCUCUUAAAACCAUUCUCAGUUCGGAUUGCAGGCUGCAACUCGCCUGCAUGAAGUCGGAAUCGCUAGUAAUCGCGGAUCAGCACGCCGCGGUGAAUACGUUCCCGGGCCUUUGUACACACCGCCCGUCACACCACGGAAGUUGGGAGUACCCAAAGUAGUUGCCUAACCGCAAGGAGGGCGCUUCCUAAGUAAGACCGAUGACUGGGGUGAAGUC